GAUGAACGCUGGCGGCGUGCCUAAUACAUGCAAGUCGAGCGAACAGACGAGGAGCUUGCUCCUCUGACGUUAGCGGCGGACGGGUGAGUAACACGUGGAUAACCUACCUAUAAGACUGGGAUAACUUCGGGAAACCGGAGCUAAUACCGGAUAAUAUAUUGAACCGCAUGGUUCAAUAGUGAAAGACGGUUUUGCUGUCACUUAUAGAUGGAUCCGCGCCGCAUUAGCUAGUUGGUAAGGUAACGGCUUACCAAGGCAACGAUGCGUAGCCGACCUGAGAGGGUGAUCGGCCACACUGGAACUGAGACACGGUCCAGACUCCUACAGGAGGCAGCAGUAGGGAAUCUUCUGCAAUGGGCGAAAGCCUGACGGAGCAACGCCGCGUGAGUGAUGAAGGUCUUCGGAUCGUAAAACUCUGUUAUUAGGGAAGAACAAAUGUGUAAGUAACUAUGCACGUCUUGACGGUACCUAAUCAGAAAGCCACGGCUAACUACGUG
RNAcentral lists this ribosomal RNA (497 nucleotides) under uncultured bacterium. RNAcentral describes it as "partial 16S ribosomal RNA". It matches the Rfam family "Bacterial small subunit ribosomal RNA", at positions 28 to 507 of the family's 1533-position model. The record is from RNAcentral.